AAGAGAUGAAGGGCAGCCGACGGUAGGACCUAGGUCCGGCUGAGGAACUUCCCUCCUCCACAGGGCAAGAUGAACCGGGAAAUCCGGUAAGGCGAGAGCUUUGGCAAGGGCCCAGAAACGACACAGCCUUGGUUAAGGGUGAUCUGCGGACAGUGACGUUCCCAAGGAUAUGAUGAAACGGCGACACCUCAUCGGAGCAAACUCAUACAGCCGGGAUGACCGCCCGAGACCGGCGGGUAGAGCGCGUAGUUGAAUGCUGCCUGAAACAGAAGGGGGGGUACUAUCAUGACUU
RNAcentral lists this RNase P RNA (292 nucleotides) under Candidatus Methanoplasma sp. RNAcentral's name for it is "RNase P RNA component". It matches the Rfam family "Archaeal RNase P". From Rfam's summary of the family: Ribonuclease P (RNase P) is a ubiquitous endoribonuclease, found in archaea, bacteria and eukarya as well as chloroplasts and mitochondria. The record is from RNAcentral. Lineage: Archaea; Methanobacteriati; Thermoplasmatota; Thermoplasmata; Methanomassiliicoccales; Methanomassiliicoccaceae.